CGGACGCGAGGGAGACGGCCAACCCGCCUGAUUUGGGAUCAGGAGUCACCGCGUUCGACUCGCGGGCGUCCGAC
This 74-nucleotide transfer RNA is filed under the name Kutzneria sp. CA-103260. RNAcentral's name for it is "tRNA-Pro". The record is from RNAcentral. Lineage: Bacteria; Bacillati; Actinomycetota; Actinomycetes; Pseudonocardiales; Pseudonocardiaceae.